This 194-nucleotide ribosomal RNA is filed under the name uncultured Isochrysis. Its description in RNAcentral is "partial Bacterial large subunit ribosomal RNA". It matches the Rfam family "Bacterial large subunit ribosomal RNA", at positions 776 to 969 of the family's 2925-position model. The record is from RNAcentral. Lineage: Eukaryota; Haptophyta; Isochrysidales.
GAACCCGUUGACGUUGAAAAGUCUUGGGAUGACCUGUGGGUAGGGGUGAAAGGCCAAUCAAGCUCGGAAAUAGCUCGUACUCCCCGAAAUGCAUUUAGGUGCAGCGUGUAGAUAGUUUUAUAGAGGUAGAGCUACUGAUUGGAUGCGGGGGCUUCACCGCCUACCAAUUCCUGACAAACUCCGAAUGCUAUAAA